ACUAGGGUGCAGUUUUGAUCUGCUCAAAUUCUGUGAUGCUGUUGUCACCUCUCAGCCAUGGGAUGCUGCUAAUUAUGACCACAAGUCUGUGAGUUCUUUCCUAGCAGUACUGAUAUAACUCUGUUGUGCUUUUGAUUCCAAAAGGCAUCCUCAUUCACCUUGGUCUGCCUAUUGAUAGCCAAAGUAUCUUGAUAUGCUUGCCUUAUGCAGUUUUACCUUUGGUAUAAGAUACUGAGAAUGUUUUUACAUUUUCCUAGACAGAUAAUAUUUCCUCAGCUCUAGGCAUUGGCAUUGUGAGCCCUGUUAGUGAUAUAGUUAGAGGGUAUAGCUCUAUGUAAAUAUUCAACUUAAGUGAGUUAUCGAUGUCUACCAGGCUGUUUAGCAGUCUAACAGAUGCUGUGACUGACAGUGAUGACUUGUUUUUCACUUGCUUUCUUGCUCUUUAUUAUGCAUCCUUCUAAGAAAACAAGUGCUUGGUGAAGCUAGAUUUGUGUGCCAGUGUAUGUGUGGCACAUGUGCAAGGCACAGCUGGUUGGGAAAAACGUUAAUUGCUGCCUGUGCUCCUGAAGACAUGCAACAAAUACAUGAGUAGUAGGUGCUAUAGUAGAGGUUGAGGGGGUGAGUCUCAUGCUACACAUAUGUUUUUAUAUGACUGUGUCAUGUUUUUUCCACACUGUCCGCAACUCUUCCUUUGUAUUUGGUUUAUGUUUUCUUAGCUAGCAGUGUGGGUGCUGUGCAUAGUCACAACCAAGUAACUCUUUUCAGAAUUGAUCAUUGCAUGCAACAUGCACAUGCUGAUCUGUUGUUUCCUGAGAUUCAACUUCUGCUGACAAGAAACUUUCAAAUACGACUUUUCAGGGCUCAGAAAUACUUUUUGAUUGUUUCUGGCUGUUUGCUUUGAGCUUCCAAGUCAUUUGCUGACAUUAUCAGGUAGAGCAUGGAGCUACUUUUGCUCUGUUACAACUCACACUAUCUACUCUUUUAUUUUUUCAUACUUGUAUUCAGCCCUGAGCAAAACUGUUCUCUCUCUUGGUAUCUAAUCAGCUCCCAUGUCCACUUUCAUAAUUAUCAGCCUAGGGACUAGAAUUUGGUUUGUGUUAUACUCUCAUUAUUAUUGUUUUCUUAAUCCAUACCUUGGGGAAGAAUGACUUGAGCUGAAAUCCCAUAUUUGUAGGAGCCAACUUACUUGCAAUAUCAUGUGCUGUGCAAUUACCAUGUGUUGUGCAAAGGCAGCCAAGACAGUGCAACAUUUAAACUUUUUUUCCUCAUCCAGAUAGACUGGAUGAGGAAACCUCUUUCAGUAGGUACCUCUUGAAAGUAAAAUAAUGCGAAUGUCUGAAUAUUGACUCUGUAUCUGUAUCAAUAGUUUCCAGCAUGUAGCUCAUGAAUGACAACAAACAUGAAUCCUUCCUGGAAGAACUUAGUGUAUUUUUCAAUCCUGGGACACAGACUGGAGAACACAAAGACAAGGAUUUUAGAAAUGUGAACGUGCAGCAUGGGGCCAGAGCAGUCUGGUCAUAUUGGGUGACAGUAUAGUGUACCAGUCGAGAUUUGUUGGAAGAAUAAGAGGGAGGGAGGAUAUGCAGAUUAGAGGUUAGGGCCCUCACCUGUGAUAGUUAAAUCCCUGUCUCAUUUUAGGUUCACCAGAGAACUAAAAACAGUCCCUGAAUCUAAGACUCCCUCAUGAUUUCGCUCAGAGUUGUGCUGUCUCCCCUGCCCUGUGAAUUCAGAACUGUUAUCUUGGUAUCAUGAGGAAGGGCAGAGCUUCCACCUAGCCAGACUGGCCUCUGGUCUUGUGCUUAAAGCACUGGGAAAUGGGAAUUCUGUGUUUAAACACCUUGGAGAUGAAGCAAGAAUUGAACCCCAUUUUCCUUUUUCUCAAAUAAGUGCUGUAAUUCCCCAACAGUGGUUCUCCCAAGCCUGUUUUUACUGCUCUGUUAUUUUCGCCAAUAAAUAGCAGCUGCAAAUACACAUUGGGGAGCCCAGUCUCAUUCGUGCAACAUGGGCAUGUUCUGAGAUGUUGUACAAGGCAGGAAAAUGACUUGUUGCUGGAUCCCCAGCUGCUCAGACAGGGUCUUGUCUGGGCAAAUACUGAGGUAGAAUUCUGAUGUGCGGGUGAUGGCUGAGUAGGGUCUUCUCUAAAUUUCAGUUUUGGGUUCACUGACUUCCCUGUACUUUGCGCUAUUUCCUUUAAAAGCAAUAUAAACAAUGUCUUUAGUUUAGGUAUUGUCAUAUUUUACAAAAUGAAAGGUAGAUUUUCAACUUCAUAGGGAAUAACAUUCGCUGUGGGACAGCUUCUGAUGAAAAGAGUGGUAAUGUGUGUAUUGAUUGCCCUGUCAACCAUUUCUACAUUAUGUUCAGCUAAUUCUAACAACACCUGUGAAAAUCCAAGUGGAAAAGACUUGGACCUGUCUGUACCCUGCCAGCAUGACUGAUGUGUGUGGCACAUGGGAAGCAGAAGCCUGGAAUUGAUAUAGCUUUCCUGUUAAAGAGCUCAAGAGUUUCUUCUUUUUCCAAAACUCAGGCCUGCAGGGAGAGUAGCAGUGACCAUUGCAAAGCUGCCUCUUUAGGGUAAUGGCAGGCUCUGGAAUAAACAUUUUCCAGAUAGGUGUAUCUUUUGUAAGUGUAUGAAGAGCUGACAACUCAUUUUUCUUUCUUUUUGACAGGGCUGCCUUCCCCACCCCAUCCCCGAAAUAUCCAUUCUUUCUCAGAAUUCUUGGAUGUAAAUCCGUAGUGUUUGAAGGGAGUGUUCAGAGAUGCGAAUGUGCUGCCUAGGGAAGAUUGGGCUGAUCUGACAAGUGGUGUAAAGCUUGUCCCAAGAAUCGGUUUAUGUAUGUCCCAGAAUACAUCCAUGUAUAUAUGGCCUGGAGCUGGAGGAGCCCACGCAGCCCUGGUGGAUUGCGCAUUGCAGGCCUCCUAGGGACAGUAACGGUUAAGUAUUCUUCUUGCAGUGGAAAGAAUUGUUUCAUUGACUGUUGAGUUUGAUAAGGGAGUACUCAUUGCUGCAGCACAGCUCCAGCCUAGGACUAUUGACAUGGAGCUUUAUGUAUGGAGCGAGAGGGAGAAGAGGACUGGGAGGCAAUUUUCAUUUGAAAGCACUCAAAUGUAGUAUGUUUUAGAUUUGUUCCCUAGCAGAGGUAAACUCUCCAAAUCAGAAAAGACCUAAAGAGUUUUCAGUUUAAACUGGAUUUUCAGAAACCAGAGACAGUUGAAAGCUAUUGCUAUUAGCACAGCAAAGCAAUGUCAGAAGAGGGAAAUGAUAGAAGAAUGGCUCGAUCAAUAGGAGACUGUGAAAGGAGAUGGCUCAAUUUUUAUUGUUUUUUUUUCUUGGUAUUCUAGCUACUGUGUUCAUAUUGUGAAAUUAAGAUACAUGCAGCUCCUAUUUAUAAUGACUUAGGGACGGUUUUAUGCUUUGGAUUUACUUGAAUCACAGAUUUAACCAGGUUAAAUAAAAAGAAAAAGGGGAAAAUUGCUUUAGCUGAUUUUAAUCCACUUUGAAUUGGUUAUGAGACUCUGUGCUUCUUGCACUGUGUCAUACAAUGAUCGCAUCUGUGGCUUGAGAUGGAUCUGCUUACACCUUUCCCUUGUAGUAAGUGCCCUAAAAGGCUUUUAAAUACAGAAAGCCAGGAUUUAUUUGAAUUGUGAAAAAACCCAAAAUGCAUCUUUUAAAACAGGGUAAGCUCAACAGCUAGGGAAGACAGAGGAGAAGCAAAGAGGUUUGUGAACAACUCUGCCAUUGCCUUCUCCAUUUUUAGUGAGUCCUGGCUUCUAGCCAGCUCAGUGACUUUCUGAGUGGCAGUAAAUCCUGCAGCUUUCCCUCUGGUCCAUGGGAAGUCCCUUCUCUCCCCCUGAGGCCUGUUUGUCUGCUCCCUCUCCUCUCUGCAGCCUUGUCUUCCUGAGCUGCAGGCCUUCAGCUCCGUGCUGUGCUGCUCUUGCUUGAUGCAGCCUCGGGAACCUUUUUUCCACUGGGCUUGCUCAGAAGACCCUCAGGAGACGAGCUGUCUCUCCUCUCACACACACAUUUAAGAAUGAACCACAAACUCCGAACAAAUGAGUAAUGUAGAUGGCAUUCACUGCAGACAUUGUUGCUGAAAAGAGACUCGUGAGCAUAAUGUGAACACUUUUUCAUUUGUGUAAGGUUUCAGGCUAUCCUGUUCAGUUUUGCCACGGGUUUUCAAAGUUGAUGUUUUUUUUCCCUUUGUUGUUCUCCAGCAAUACUUACAAAAGGAUACUGGAAACUACGCCAUACGUGAAGAGAGUUGAAAAUUAUUACUGUCUGACAAAAAUGAGAGCUUGGUGUUUUUCCAGCACAGCUCUUCAGCCCUUCCCAAGUUAGAAGUUAUUCAGCCCCAUUAGAAAUGCAACCUUUCCUGAUGUAUAAUAAAGGAGAGGUUUUAUAUCAGGGCUCAAACAAAACCUGCCUGACUUACCACAGUUUAAUGAGGUUCCAUGCCUCAGCUAAGCUGCAGUUAACCAACCGUGAACUGCAUGUGCACUCUUUGAAUGUUUCAAGCAUGAAGAAACAUCUUAAAUCCCAGUGAAAAAGGUGCAAGCCCAGGUAUGUCACAUCCGUGAUGGACUAAGCGCAGGUAAGUGGUGGGUUACUGUGACUCAGCCGACAGCACAUCUUGCUGUGCUGCCAUAACUCCAGAUGUGUGCUGGGACCCUUGGUAAUAAUUGCCCAAAUGCUCUUUAAUAGAGGAAGCUGAAAAGUUGAACAUAAAGGAUUUUUUUUCCCAGGCGGAAGAGGUCCAGGACAGUUUAAUAUCCCAACUCCUGUGCGAAGUUACACAAGUUAUUUGAUAACCAUAUGUGGUUAAGACCUCAGAUUUGUGUACCAUGUGAAAGAUGAAACUUCCAGUAAUAUACUUUCCCCCCUACCACUAGGUCUGAGCAUUAAAAACAACAAUCAGAGCAAAAAAUGUACUGCUGCCACCACUCCUCACAGCACCAACAUUUUUCUUGGCUAUCCUUCUCCUGAAUAAUGCUCAUCUCCAAUCCCGUUUAUUUUGAGUACUUUAAAGCCACAAGGCGACAUAAGCAAAUGCCAAAUGUACGAAUAUUAAGUCCCAUACAAACUACUUUUACCAAAUAGGGUCAUUCUUUUUCCUCAGAAAGCUUCCCUCUCUUCUGUCUUCAGAUUCAUAGUAGAUAAUCAAACAGUCCAACAGCCAAAAAGUCUUGAAGAGUGAGGUGGACAGUAAGAAAGCAAUUAGAGCAGUAUGAAACAAUUUUAUCGUCUGAAAAGAAUCCUGGAUUCCUUCUGUUACCUGUUGAGCAGAUCCAGCAAAGCAGCAGCAAACUAUCAUAGCAUCCUUCUGCUGGAGAGUUCACCAGGGCAUCACACACCAGAGACUAGAUACCUCUGAGAGUCUGAGACAUUUCCUUGAGGCUGUCAAACAUAUCAAAGGACCUGUGGGAGACCUACCCUCUUGGAACGUAGCUGGAAGCCAGACCAACUGCCUGUGCUUGGGUUUGACCUACCAAAAUGAAGCUCCGAAUGUGAUGUACCAGAGGGGAGAAUAUGCAAAGGAAGAAAGAGUGAAUUACAUGAAGAUGUCAUUGUUAGAGCUGCCCGAAACAUCUGUGAUGUUCAAGAUCAUAUGUGUUUGCCAGACUGUGUUAGGAUGGGGUCUGACUCAAUACCGUCUGACAGUAUAAGGUGGAUAAAGUAGAAGUUCAAAAAUACUACUUCCAGCUGUAGGAACUAUCACUGUCAUCUGUGCUGACGAGCAGGGCGAUGUGGUGGUGAGCGCCUUGAAGAGCUCUGUGUCGAGCUGACAGUUCUAACUGAACCAGUGACCGGCUGAACUGGAUGAUUGCUUCCUUCUUUUUUCUGGUGCUCAUCCUACUGAUCUCUGCACAACUGCUACUCCAGCAUCUGUGUGGAUCUGGUAUUCCUCCAUUGAUCCUGAAUCAAACUAUUUCAGUUUUUUACCACCUGCAGCUGAGAGUGACUAUGGUUCACCAUACUGAUGGGCUUUCAGGUCAGUUCUGCAUCAAAACUGAGUAAUUGGUUCAGGCAGACCAGACAUUCGCCUUUCCAUCUAGAACUGCCAAAGAGACCCUCCCCGUCUGAAGGACACAGCUUCAGUCUUUGAGCUCGCAACAGCCCUGACUUGGCCCAUUUGCUGAAGACAACAUGGAGACGAUUCUCCCUCUUGGGACACCAACACUGACAGGCAAAUGCCUGGCAGAGGCGAAUGACGAGAGAGAAAUAUUGCAUGUCACCCCUGACGCGGAUGCUAGCAGGAGGAAGCUCGGAGGGGCCAAGAAGAGGAAUGAAAGAAAUUGAAUUUGGGUCCUGCAACACCAGCACCAACUAGGAUUCAGCUCUUCUGCACUGUCCGAGCAAAAAGAUAACUGAUUGACUGAAAGAUAUUGACUUUGAUAUUGACUUUGAUAUUGACUGAAAAGAAUUCUCACAUCCAACAUGACUGCAAGACUUCCUGUUUUUCCUUCACGAGCUUUCUUCUUCAAGUUGAAGUCGAAAGGAGAAGUAUUUGCCAGCAGGACGGAUCCUUUCCUUUGCAAAAUGUUCUUUCAUUCUGGAUUCUGCACGGCAGGAGAUCACACUGAUGGGAAACAUGCCAAAAUUUUCCAGAAUCUCAAAGCCCAAGUGGAGUAAAGAGAUAUUACAUUUCCAUGAUUCAGAAAGCAAGUAUUUUCAUGGAAUAAGGAUCAAUCUGUUUCAAUCACAGUGGAUCACCCAGCUGCAGAGGACCCCCCACACUUGCUUUGUAAGGUAACUUUGAAGCACAGAGAGACGUAGCAUCUACAGGCCAGAGUGCCAUUUCCCUGCUCCUACAACCGAGACAGUGGAAGUGCUGAUGCCGGGGUGGUUUCGCUUGUCUGCUUCCUAUUUCCCAGCACUACCAGCUAGCCCACCCAGCAGGGCAGGCGAAAUCUAGUCAGGCUUCCAGUCGCUUCAGCCACUUGCUUGUUCUCCCUUUUUAAAAAAUUUUUCGUUUUUCUCUGUUUAUGAAAUUUACACUUGCUGCUGUGGUCUCACCUGGUCUCGCUGUCUAUCUAGGCAGGUUCAGACUUGAGAACCAGCCGAGAAAAACCCAAGCUCUGGACAAAAAGGUGUUGCUAAUGCUGUAGGUGGCACUCAUCUGACUCGGCCAGAGACCAAGGGCCAGCCCCUGUCAGCGACCACAGUGCAGUUGGAGGUGCUGUCUUUCUGCAGAGACAUGAAACAGAGGUUCAGGCAAAUUGCCAUAUUAAAAAUGUCACAGUACUUUCUCUGCAACAGUAGGACCGUUAGCUCCCAUGAUCAAGCCAAAUUUUAAUUUGAGUAAUUUACAUGCUACUUACCUAGAAUUCUCCCUAUGGCUUCAACUGGAUAAGGCAAUUUAUGUUCCUGGCCACUGCCAUGUUCUACGAUGCUGCUCUGUGGUGUUACACAGCUGUUGCAUUUCACCUCGAGGUGGCUGUACAGCAGCUGCUGACAAAGUGAUUCUACAUUUAUAACGUGUGUAAGUGUGUUGGUAAGUUUGUAAACCAUGUUAAGCUCUUUCUGGAUUAAAAGCAAGACAUGCGUGCAAAUGUAUCACAAUUACCAUUUUGCACAUCUCCUUCUAAAUAUGCAUUUGUAGAACAAUUAGCCUUAAUGGAAGCUGCAAACAUGGAUCCAGAAAAGACUCUUAAUUCUUUAAAGACAUAAUAGCUGCAUCAGUUAAAGAUAUGUUAAUAGCAAAUGGUUUUAUUCAUUUGAUCUUAUCAAAGAAAAGCUUCAACUACAUUGUUCAUACAGCAACUUCAAAGACUUCUUCAUUCAUUCAUGUAGUACCGACUCACCCUCACUAAAGAUGAACUGUGAGUAAACACUAAAAGAGAGAAAAUAAGAUAAGGCGCAUGGGAGUUUUUACAAAGAGAGAACACAUUUCCCUCUUCUCACUGCCCUACAUGGGUUUAAGUGUCUGACCGUAAGCCUCCAAUUAAGUUAUUGUUGAAGUGCCUUUGAAGCACUAUGCUAGCUCUUAUACUCCAAGGAGUCACAGGAAAGGAUGUUGUCGUCGUUUUUAUGCAGUUCACCAGUUCUUAAUGGACUUCAUAUGGUCUCUGCUUUUCCAAAGCAGCCUUCCUUAUCACAGCUACAGCAUGGUGCUCUCAUCUUUUGUGCAAAUUUUUAAUAAAAGAUUUAUCAUUUCUCCCUCUCCAAACCUAUACACACAUAAAUCUCUCACUCCUGCAAAGGAAUGUGAAGCAGCAUCCUUAGUUAAUUCAAGCAGCAAAAGUAUAAGCAUAAGAAUUAGCUUCAGAUCAAGUGCAUUAAUGCCUGUCCUGGUGUAUUGGGUCAGGACCAAACAGAAUCCAAGACUUUUACUAGGGGAAGUGGGAACAUCUUCAAGGACUUCAUGGAAAUAUCAGUAGCUGACUGCAAUAUGGCCAUAAUAAUGCUUACUGGUGAAGACUAUUCAUACUGACUCUGUGAGGCAGUAAGAGAAAGUGUCAGUAGCAGAGCUUGCACCUGACCAUUGGAGUACCUGAUUUUUGAUGAUCCCAGAGGAGCACAGAGGCUGAAAGUAGAACAGAGAUGUUAAGCAAUAUAGUCUGGUCUCUUGGUAGUGUAAUUUGUUCUCUACAGUCUUUUUUUUAUGUUCUGUACAUGACUUAAGGGAUGAAUUAACUACUAACUUUGACUCCAGUGUGACUUGAAAAAAAAAGUCAUGAAUAGUCCCUGAUGAUUUCAGAGUAUUUUAUUGUUCAUCUAGUCCUGUUGUGAAAGUGACAAAGCGACAGUCUUUCCUGCAGCUGUGUGUGUGACAUGAGCCAAUGACUCUCUUGGCUUCUUGCUGCUAGGCUUAAAAAAAAGAGAAAAAUAAUGGCUUUAUUUUCUUGUUAUCAGGCUCUUCCUCUAGAAGUAGCUACUCACUUUGUUUGAGCCAGAUCAGCUUCCGCAAUUCAAAAUCUGAAACCUUCAUCUGAACCUGAUGCUACCGCUGGGAAGGUUUCACACCUGUGCAUGCCGAUGGCAUUGUGCACAGAAGGAAGUAAAGCUUGUUUGACCAAGCACUGGUCCGACUUGGGGGUGAAUAUGCUUAGGAAGAAAAUGAGAGUGUUAUGCCCAAGUAACUCAUAUACAAGGAACAAAUGUAUUAAAACAAGGAUUCUUUUCUUGGGUGUUUUUUGUUGCUGUUUCACAAAGCAGAGUGUCUGGUAGUUGGAGGUUGUAGCCAACACAAUGUUGUCAUAAUAGUUUUACAUACCAUUUAAAUAUAA
Molecule: long non-coding RNA, 9225 nt
Organism: Dromaius novaehollandiae (emu)
Lineage: Eukaryota; Metazoa; Chordata; Aves; Casuariiformes; Dromaiidae
Exons: 11
Source: RefSeq, a predicted model, not a curated record